CUCCCCUCGCCCAGGGAUUAAUCAUUCCUGGUUAUUUGAUGGCAUUCCUUGGGAGUUUUAAGACAAUUGCUUUUCUUUGGGGAGAUGUCUUAGAUUAGGGGGAUUUACAGAGGGAGGUCUCCCGCCCUGUGCUUGGGGCAGAAGGACAGAGUCCUGGAUUCCCAGGCAGCUCUCGGGCUCCGCAGAGCAAGGCACUCUCCUGUCCUGGUUCUGUUCCCUGCGACAGCAGGUGCCCAGGAAAGAUCUGCUGAAUAAGGAAAGAACGCACCAACACUUGGGGCUCAUCCGGGCGUCGGGCAUCGGUGGGAGCUGGGAGCUGUGCUGACCACGUGACCCGAUGAAGUUUCGAGGUCUGGGCCUCUGUCCCUCCUUCUGGGUCUCAGGGUGUCUGCAGAGUCAUGGUGAGAGCAUCCUGGCCCUAGUGGUGCACCUGGUCUCCGAAGCUGGCCCGGGUGUUGAGGGGAGUCUGUAGGGCACACCCCAAACUUUUAAUAGCUAACAAGCUCGGAGGUAGGCUUCCCCAGUAGCAUUUACACUUUUUUUUUUUUU
Molecule: non-coding RNA, 549 nt
Organism: Ictidomys tridecemlineatus (thirteen-lined ground squirrel)
Lineage: Eukaryota; Metazoa; Chordata; Mammalia; Rodentia; Sciuridae
Source: RefSeq, a predicted model, not a curated record